Molecule: unclassified non-coding RNA, 381 nt
Filed under: uncultured fungus
Lineage: Eukaryota; Fungi
Description: sequence contains ITS1
Rfam family: 5.8S ribosomal RNA (bases 1-106)
Source: RNAcentral
GAAAUGCGAUACGUGAUGUGAAUUGCAUACUCGUGAAUCAUCGAAUCUUUGAACGCAAAUGGCGCUCGGCCGCUUCGGUGUGCCGAGCAUGUCUGUUUGAGGGUCAGUUUCACCUGCUUUCCUCUCCUUCAUUGUUUCACAAUGAGUUGAGGAAGACGAUGGGAUCUCACCAGUUUCCCACCAGAGACAUAGUGAUUUCCUGAAACGCAUUUUAUUUAAUUUUAAAUCUAAUGGAAAGACAAGUUCCGAGGUCCCGACCCUUUUUUCUAAUACAAAUUAGACGGGACCGAUCGCAGCAAUGUGACCGGGCAAACCUUUCUCUUAACAACAAAAACAAAACAAAAUGACCUCAAAUCAGGCAAGAGCACCCGCUGAACUUAA